UACGAAGGGUGCAAGCGUUACUCGGAAUUACUGGGCGUAAAGUGUGCGUAGGUGGUUCGUUAAGUCUGAUGUGAUAGCCCUGGGCUCAACCUGGGAAUUGCAUUGGAUACUGGCGGGCUAGAGUGCGGUAGAGGAUGGCGGAAUUCCCGGUGUAGCAGUGAAAUGCGUAGAGAUCGGGAGGAACAUCUGUGGCGAAGGCGGCCAUCUGGACCAGCACUGACACUGAGGAGCGAAAGCGUGGGGAGCAAACAGG
This 253-nucleotide ribosomal RNA is filed under the name uncultured bacterium. RNAcentral's name for it is "partial 16S ribosomal RNA". It matches the Rfam family "Bacterial small subunit ribosomal RNA", at positions 524 to 776 of the family's 1533-position model. The record is from RNAcentral.